UACGAAGGGGGCUAGCGUUGUUCGGAAUUACUGGGCGUAAAGCGUAUGUAGGCGGAUCGUUAAGUCGGGGGUGAAAUCCCGAGGCUCAACCUCGGAACUGCCUUCGAUACUGGCGAUCCUCGAGUCCGGGAGAGGUGAGUGGAACUCCGAGUGUAGAGGUGAAAUUCGUAGAUAUUCGGAAGAACACCAGUGACGAAGGCGGCUCACUGGCCCGGUACUGACGCUGAAAUACGAAAGCGUGGGGAGCAAACAGG
This 254-nucleotide ribosomal RNA is filed under the name uncultured bacterium. RNAcentral's name for it is "partial 16S ribosomal RNA". It matches the Rfam family "Bacterial small subunit ribosomal RNA", at positions 524 to 776 of the family's 1533-position model. The record is from RNAcentral.